UUUCCGUAGGUGAACCUGCGGAAGGAUCAUUAUCGUACAAAAUGUGAGGGGCAUGCGAGGACUGUCGCUGAACCAAAAAUCGUGCACGCCCGAGUGUGUCCUCUUGCAUAAUAAUCCAUCUCACCCUUUGUGCAUCACCGCGGGGGCACCCUUCGGGAUCAUCUCGGAGGGGGGCUCGCGUUUUCACACAAACCCCCCUUUUAAAGGUGUAGAAUGACCACAUUUAUGCAAUCAAUACAACUUUCAACAACGGAUCUCUUGGCUCUC
Molecule: unclassified non-coding RNA, 267 nt
Filed under: plant metagenome
Description: partial contains small subunit ribosomal RNA, internal transcribed spacer 1, and 5.8S ribosomal RNA
Source: RNAcentral